GGGAGGUUGGACUGGCACUGUGGGAGGAUCCCAGGGCCCGGGGGGUCUCUGAAGGGCCUGCCAAUCUCCCCAGCCUGGGCAGCUUUUCCCCUAGCCCCUGGGAAGGCUGCACUUCCGGAAUUGAGGUGGUACUGGUGGGACGCACUUCGGAGUGGCUUCCCAGAGACCACUUGCCCACUCACAAGCAAGUCCCCAGACUGUGGAGGGGCACGUGUGGAUCCUAAGACAACCCCUCUGAGGUUUAAAGGGACACCAUGAUCUGACUGACGUGGACAGCUGCAAGAACAAAGGAUUCUAAGAACACAGAAUUCCUACACCAAGAAGUUUUCAACAAUCAAGCACACCCUCUCCACAUUUUAGUGCAAAAGGAGCCUGAAUUCUGACUUGGGGAAGAUGAUUCUCCAGUACAUUAUUGCUCUGCCAUCUUCUUGGUCAGCUAGCUUUCUGAAUAAAGUCAUUUUUCCUUGCCCCAACACCUCGUCUCCUGAUUUAUUGGCCUGUUGUUCGGGGAGCAGAAUGAGUUCGGACUCG
Non-coding RNA from Vicugna pacos (alpaca), 531 nucleotides. The record is from RefSeq and is a predicted model, not a curated record. NCBI's taxonomy places the organism in Eukaryota, Metazoa, Chordata, Mammalia, Artiodactyla, Camelidae.